This 465-nucleotide ribosomal RNA is filed under the name uncultured bacterium. RNAcentral describes it as "partial 16S ribosomal RNA". It matches the Rfam family "Bacterial small subunit ribosomal RNA", at positions 28 to 507 of the family's 1533-position model. The record is from RNAcentral.
GACGAACGCUGGCGGCGUGCUUAACACAUGCAAGUCGUACGGUAAGGCCCUUUCGGGGGUACACGAGUGGCGAACGGGUGAGUAACACGUGAGUAACCUGCCCACAACUUUGGGAUAACGCUAGGAAACUGGUGCUAAUACUGGAUAUGUUCUCCUGCUGCAUGGUGGGGGUUGGAAAGCUCCGGCGGUUGUGGAUGGACUCGCGGCCUAUCAGCUUGUUGGUGGGGUAGUGGCCUACCAAGGCGGCGACGGGUAGCCGGCCUGAGAGGGUGACCGGCCACAUUGGGACUGAGAUACGGCCCAGACACCGACGGGAGGCAGCAGGGGGGAAUAUUGCACAAUGGGCGCAAGCCUGAUGCAGCAACGCCGCGUGCGGGAUGACGGCCUUCGGGUUGUAAACCGCUUUCAGCAGGGACGAAGCUUUUUGUGACGGUACCUGCAGAAGAAGCACCGGCUAACUACGUG